UUACACACUGUAAAAAGGAAAGUAAAACUUACACUGCUUAUACAGAGAGUCUUCACACGCUGAGAGAAGGCAUUGAAAGAAAGUUUGAAAAUGGCCUUGGAGUGUUGAUGCCAAUAUGAGGUAUCAACGGGUUCGCCCGUUAUAGCGAUACAGUAUUAACAUUGAUGUUAAAUGGCGUACUGGAAAUUUUAUACGUCACAAUUUAUCGUUAAUACUCAUUUAUUCACAUAUGGAUUAAAUGAGUUUUUGUUUUAUUUAAUGAUGUUACGAUAAAAAGAUUGUGUAUCAGCUAUUUUCAGUAUACUGUUUUAACACUAUGGCGUACUGAUUGAGGUUACUUUAGCAAUAAAGUAGCAAACAAAGGUGGUACCGCGAAGUUUAAGCUUUCGUCCUUUAC
RNAcentral lists this non-coding RNA (397 nucleotides) under Staphylococcus epidermidis. RNAcentral describes it as "T-box sequence". It matches the Rfam family "T-box leader". Rfam says of the family: Uncharged tRNA acts as the effector for transcription antitermination of genes in the T-box leader family. T-boxes are found upstream of many aminoacyl-tRNA synthetase genes and some amino acid biosynthetic genes usually in Gram-positive bacteria. The record is from RNAcentral. Lineage: Bacteria; Bacillati; Bacillota; Bacilli; Caryophanales; Staphylococcaceae.